GCAGGGGCUGGCCGAGGCGGGGAGGGAGGGAGGAGGGGAGGACCGGAGGAAGAUCUCGUUGUCGAUUGUUGUCGUUGCUUAGGUUUCCCCCCUUUUGGAGAAGAGUUCUCUUGUCAACCGAGAGCGGAGAGGGACAACUCCGCGCGGACGCAGCCAGGUGCGCGCGCGCGGUCCCCACCGCCCCAGCCCUGUCACCUCGGCCAGUGGCCUGCCGGGCGGCCUCCGUCUCCGCGGGACAGCCCUCCCCGCGCCUGGUCUCUUUCGGAGAGGGGGUGCCGUCCGGCUCCUCACCGCGCCUGGCCGUGCAUCGUGGCUCCAGUCGCAACUCGCGGUCUCCUGGGCGCGCAGCCCCACAUCGCUCGGCCCACGCUCCGGCUGCCUCCGUGCAAACCCCACAGUCUCUGGACUUUCUUUUCUUUUCCUUUCCCCCUCUGUUUUUCGUUGGGGUAGCAAAUCUGUGUUUCCUUUCUAGCCUCUUUCCUUCCUUUUUUUUUUUUUUUUCCUUUUGCAGCGGGAGGAGUCGGGGGGAGGGGGUGUAGCUUGAAGAGCUUUAAAAACAAAAACAAAACAAAAACGUCCUGGUGCCGCGGCUACAGUUGUGCGCGGCUGGAACAGCUCGGCCUGGGCCGCCGCUGUCGCCGGCUGUCCCCGGACAGGCGUCCCUCUGUCCCUGGUCUCCUGGCCCAGUCCGCCGCCCCGGCGCGUCUCUCCCCGGCUCCGGCGGCUCGGUCACUGCUCCCGGCUGUUGGCUGGGCUCUGGAAGCCCCCUUGCCUUAAUGCAGCGCCCGCCGACGUCACGGCGGCCUACGACCAAUCAGCGGCUCGCGGUGCCUCUGUAAACCAUCCUGCAUCUCCCGGCUGGGGAGAGUGCCGGGAGACCGCGUUUCGAGGAUCAGUGGCGACUGCCACCGCGGCCCUGCGCGGUGCGGGCGGCGGGCAGCGAGGUGCCCGGGUCCCCUCCUGCUCCGGGGUUUCCGCCAGUCCCCUCGGGCUCUGCCUUCCCCUUGGGGGAGCAGAGGGAGGACUAUGUGGUGAAACAGACACCUCCCUCGGAGAGGAGCCAGCUCACAGCACCAGGCUCUGGAGGCUUCAGCGUGUGAAGACCAUACAGUCCUCUUUGGUGCUGGCAUUCGAGCAGGUAACCCUAGAGCGCUGAGUAGGAGAAGGCAAUGGCACCCCACUCCAGUACUCUUGCCUGGAAAAUCCCAUGGAUGGAGGAGCCUGGUAGGCUGCAGUCCAUGAGGUUGCUAGAGUUGGACAUGACUGAGCAAC
Molecule: long non-coding RNA, 1272 nt
Organism: Bubalus bubalis (water buffalo)
Lineage: Eukaryota; Metazoa; Chordata; Mammalia; Artiodactyla; Bovidae
Exons: 4
Source: RefSeq, a predicted model, not a curated record